ACAAACUGUGAUUUUUGCUCAUACCCAAUAGCACCCCACACAAUAAGGCCUAGAGCUGGCACUGUACGUCUUGUGCAAAUGCAGUCACUGUGAUGGCCCUCCAUAUGUCUGCAGUGAACCAAAAUGCAGCCAUCAUUUUCAGACAAGCAUAACUUGGACUCGUCUGAAAACACUAUCUGAUGCCAUUCCAGUAUCCAACAAUGUUCAAUAAUACAUCAUUGCCGUCUAGCACAUUUUUGAACAUUCAUCAAAGCAGAGAUGAGGAGGAUGCAGAUCUGUCCUGCAAUGGCAUUUGAAUGAGGUGCCAAUCAUCUUGGAGAGGUGCACACACCUGUUGCACAGCUAAAACACUUUUUCCCAUGCGAGCAGCAGUUUCGUGGAUGGAUGCAUCACAUUAUCACAUUCACUCAUGCCAAGAAUGCGCCCUCUUUUAAACCCAUUCAUUUGAUGAAGCACUGAGAGAACUGUGCAAGGGGCCAAUUGAGAUCUGCCACUGGUUAACAGAGUUUGGAAUGGUGCGACCUUAUUUAUUGGUUGAUGGGAGAGUGCCCUUCAAUGUGGAUAUUGUGAUAAAAUACUAUGGGCAUUCCACGAGCUGUGAAUGUGCACAUCAGGGAAAUGACCAUCUGUUUUUCUUAAUGUUUUUUGUUAGCCACCAGUUGAUGCCAUAAGAGCACUGAGCAAGUUUAAUGAUAUAUUUAUGUUGCGAUUUGUGA
Long non-coding RNA from Schistocerca nitens (vagrant locust), 716 nucleotides. RefSeq lists it as uncharacterized. The record is from RefSeq and is a predicted model, not a curated record. The transcript has 4 exons. Lineage: Eukaryota; Metazoa; Arthropoda; Insecta; Orthoptera; Acrididae.